This is a non-coding RNA of Paramisgurnus dabryanus, 459 nucleotides long. NCBI's taxonomy places the organism in Eukaryota, Metazoa, Chordata, Actinopteri, Cypriniformes, Cobitidae. The record is from RefSeq and is a predicted model, not a curated record.
CAGCUGGGCAUAAAGCCUAUUGCUAAGGAGAUCCUCAUCCAGCUCGAUUUUUUUAGAGAGCAGCAGUUGCAGACUUCACCCCAGACCCAACACAUUUUGGGCUCCCACUUUCAACUAUUGAGGAGCUACAAUGUUUGUAGGAGACAUUAAAUAAUCCAGAUGAGAAGAAGAAUUUGACUGUUUUUCCUGGAAUGGUCGGAGACAAGACUCUUAAAGACACCGUGGGGUGGGUCCUGAAAAAAACAAUGAACUCUUCGUGGCGAGACUCAUCAAUUGAAGUGGGGUCAACUGAAAGCCUGCAUUCAAAGGGCUCACUUUGAAAAGUGUGGUUUUGGAUGCAGUCCGCCGGAAUGCCCUGACCAAAGAUAACACAGAAAAGGAGAUAGAGCUCCUCAUCACCAGGUGGUCGGUGCUAGCAUAUGACAGGGAUGGUGGCCGAAUCCAGACAAUAGACAGACA